CAUUUGGUUCAGAUCGGGUGAUUGAUUUGGCCGCUCAAGAAUUGACCGUUGUUUAGCUUUGAAAAACGCCUUUGUUGCUUCAGCAGGGCUUUUG
Molecule: long non-coding RNA, 94 nt
Organism: Amblyraja radiata (thorny skate)
Lineage: Eukaryota; Metazoa; Chordata; Chondrichthyes; Rajiformes; Rajidae
Exons: 3
Source: RefSeq, a predicted model, not a curated record